Vespula pensylvanica (western yellowjacket) is the source of this 3402-nucleotide long non-coding RNA. RefSeq lists it as uncharacterized. The record is from RefSeq and is a predicted model, not a curated record. Lineage: Eukaryota; Metazoa; Arthropoda; Insecta; Hymenoptera; Vespidae. The transcript is spliced from 5 exons.
AAGAAAAGGAGGAAGUGACAAGUGAAAAGAGAAGGAGGAAGAGGGGAAGAAAGAAAGGAGGGGGUGGAGAGGAGGAGGAAGUGCUUUAUACAGUUCGAUGUCCUUUUGAAUCGUGUAUGAUAAGAAGUUGUGAGUUUUCUCACUCAAAGGAGUUUCGUAACCGUUCGUUCGUUUUGUGCUCUCUUCUGAGGAAAAUAAUUAAUAAAAAAAAAAAAAAGAGGAAACGAGGAUGAAGAACGAGGAGAGUUUUGAAUCACGUCAUCGAAAUGACGUUGUCUUUUUGAAGGAAAAAAUUCUUUUAAUGCUGUUAAAAUGUAUGAUAAAAGGUAGAAGAAGAAGAAGAAGAAGGAAGGAAGAUGAGAUACUGAAUUAGAAUAAGGAAUAAAAGCGAAUGGAUCUUUUCUGGAUAAGCAGAGAGAAGAUCUGUAUCAUCGCCAGGAGAAGAAUAAGAGUGUAAAAGUAGGGGAGAGAGAGAGAGAGAGAGAGAGAGAGAGAGAGAGAGAGAGAGAGAGAGAGAGAUCAGUCCAGGAAAGGUGGAGUAGCAAACAUAUAUAAAAAAAGCUCUCCGCCGAGUUUCGUCCAUGUUUUUUAAUGGAGCGUACGAUAUAUGUGUUAAUGCAUAUAUGAUGAUCUGACAUGUGUACUACGUAUAUCGGGUUUUUAAAGAGAAAAAAACAGAAAGAGAGCGAGAAAAGAGGAGAGAUAGAGAGAAAGGAAAACGUGAAGAUGAAAACCUGGAAGAUAGAUAAAUGCGAUGAUAAUGAUGAGAGUCCGAAUCCCAGAGAGGAUUUUUGAAGAUGAUAGAAAAUUAAGAAAAUGUCUUUUUGAGCAUAACAAAAAGCGUCCAAAAAAAGCCGUAAGUGUAAGGAUACAAUCAAAACAAAAGAGAGCGCGCGCGAAAGAGAGAGAGAGAGAGAGAGAGAGAGUGAGAAUGAAUGAAUGAAGAUAGUAUGAUUGGAAAAGGAAAGAUUGAAAAAUCGUGCGUGAUAGAAAGAAGGAGAGAAUAAGGAGAAACGAUGGAGUGCAAUUUUUAAGAGAAGAAGAUAGAAAGAAAGAAAAACGUAAAGAGAGAAUGAGAAAGAAGAUGAGAAGAGUCGUCGUUCAAUUAUAUUAUAAUACAAAGAAAAAGAUAAGAUAUAGAUAAAAAAAAAAAAUGUAUGUUUCAACGGGUUUACUCCAUAAAAAUGAAAGAUUCCAAAUAUUCGAAUAUGGCGGCGGUAUUAAUCACGUGAAAUAGACGAAUAAAGUGGUGGACGCGACAUAUAUUUCCAACGAUAUAUAUACAUACAUAUAUUUAUAUAUCACCGUUCGAAGUGUAGUUGCUGAUGGUUAAAAGAAUUACGUCUCCCCUUCGUAAAAGCGUUGUGUGAUGUUGGAUUCGUUGCACCGUAAAAGAAGGAUCAUCGAAAGGCAAGAAGAAUUUUUCUUUAGCCUUCAUAGACAACUUUAACAACGUUUCUUAUUCGUGAGUCACGCUGUUCGAGACGAGAUAGAUAGAUAGAUAGAUAACUAAGAUAAGAUAGAUAGGACACAUUGAUAGAUCGAAGAAGCAAAAGCAACAGCAAAAGCAGCAACCAACAACAGCGCAAUAAUACGGAUUGGGAGAACAAGAUUGUGAGAGAUAGAGAGAGAGAGAGAGAGACAAGGGAGAAGAAGAAUAUCUUUCGAAGCUUUGGAGAUUAGAGAGUAAGAGAAAGAUGGAGAAAAGAGAAAGUCCGUAAGCAAGACGACGACGACGACAACGAUGGGUUCGGUUUUUCGAAUCGUCGUCGUCGUUGUCGCUUUACGCACCGACACGACGACACGACGACGAAGUAAAUAACAUUUUUCCCUUUUUGGAAGUAUGUCUGCAAGUUUACGGAGAAGUUUUAAAGAAGAACGUAGAAAAAGAAUAAGAAAAAUCUAGAAGAAGAAGAAGAAGAAGAAGAAGAAGAAGAAGAAGAAGAAGAAGAAGAAGAAGAAGAAGAAGACGAAGUUUUUUCAUUCCUUUUCCAAUAUCAUAGUUUCAUCCAUUUCAUCUUUUUUAAUUCAAUUAUUCUAUUAUAUUCUCCUUAUUCCCUUUCCCAUUAUCUCGGUUUUCCCGUUUUCCCAAACAACACAAAAACUUUGUCCGUCCUUAACGACCAAAGAUUUUCUAAAAUCAUCUUUGGCCGUCGUUUAAACAUAUUCCUACAAAAAUAAUUUCAUUUUAUAUGUCCUUUUCUUAUAUAUAUAUCCCAUUUGGAUGUUCACAACCACCAUUCUAUUAUCAGAUCCCUCUAUUUUUCUUUAGGGCCCUUUUUAGGGCCCGCAAAUGAUCAAUAAACGCAAAGGUACGAAUUUACGAUUCACAUUUAUAAUUCGAAGAAGAAUGAAGAUUCUGUCCUUUUCAGGACAAAUGAUGGAGGACAAAAAGUCUUGAAAAAUCUGUCCUUUUCAGGACAAAUGGUAUUUCCUCGGAUAACUAAGGUAUUAUAAUUUCAGAAUAUUUCUUUAGAAAAGAUAAAAUCCUCUUUCAGUGAUUAUUUUUACUUUUCUAAUUGCUGGAAUAACCUAAGGAGAAGGACACAAGUUAUUACAAGGACAAGUUAUUACAAGGACGAGAAAAGUGGAUCCUUUUUGUAAGGUAUAUAUAUUCUAACUUAUUAACGCACACGACGAGAGAUUCGAGAUGCGAGUUGUCACAUUAUCAAGGUCAAACGAAGAAAGACUGCCAGUAGAUGUCUCUAGAAGGCAGUAAGUAUUAUAUUUGAUUCAUUAAAAAAUUUUUCUUUUUAUUUUUAAACGAUAGAAAUAAUUCGAUACGUUCGACGUAAAGUUUCUCUUUUGAUUUUUCGCUGAAAAUAUGAUCGUUCAAGGAGGAAGAUAGUCGUUUUCUCUUUCGAAACAUUCAUAUUCUAAGCGGAUUGACGUCACAUUGACAUAGAACAAUUUUUCGAUGACUCAUUUCGAAACAUCGACCAAUAUUAUCUCUUUUCUACAACUUCGUUUUGCAGAUACGGAUAAAAGAACUUCCUCUGAUCGCAUAAAGUGAUCUAGAUACAAGCAACGUCACAGUAAAUUACGCAAUAGAUAAAUAUUUGCGUUGUUAAAGAUGGAAUAACAUUAUAACGACUACGCAUUUUGCAAAGAAAAAAAAAAAAAAAAAGAAAUCGUCGAAGAAGUCCAAUGCCUACGUUCAACCAGAAAGAUAAAACAAAGAAAGGAGGUUUCUGGGCCUUGUUUAUCGAUGGUUUAUAUAUUUGUGAAUCUUAUCAGUUAUUCGCGUCGUAGAAGACGCAAUAACAUAACACAACACAUAAACAAAAAUCCUCGACGAUGUCAAGUAUCUACGUUAAACUAAGGAGAUAAUAAAACGAAGAUAAUAUGGGUCUUGUUUGCUGAUGUAUGUACAUGUUCCUGAAAUAAAAGGUAAAUAAUAUA